Ribosomal RNA from Pteropus vampyrus (large flying fox), 119 nucleotides. Lineage: Eukaryota; Metazoa; Chordata; Mammalia; Chiroptera; Pteropodidae. The record is from Ensembl.
AUUUCCAUUUAAGAUACAGUCUACAAGCCCAAUCCCGUCUGAUCUCAGAAGCUAAGCACAGUUCGGCCUGGUUAGUACUUGGAGGGGAGACCACCUAGGAAGACUAGGUACUGUAGGCA